RNAcentral lists this ribosomal RNA (429 nucleotides) under Salmonella enterica subsp. enterica serovar Typhimurium. Its description in RNAcentral is "partial 23S ribosomal RNA". It matches the Rfam family "Bacterial large subunit ribosomal RNA", at positions 137 to 598 of the family's 2925-position model. The record is from RNAcentral. Lineage: Bacteria; Pseudomonadati; Pseudomonadota; Gammaproteobacteria; Enterobacterales; Enterobacteriaceae.
GAUUCGUCACACUAUCAUUAACUGAAUCCAUAGGUUAAUGAGGCGAACCGGGGGAACUGAAACAUCUAAGUACCCCGAGGAAAAGAAAUCAACCGAGAUUCCCCCAGUAGCGGCGAGCGAACGGGGAGGAGCCCAGAGCCUGAAUCAGCAUGUGUGUUAGUGGAAGCGUCUGGAAAGGCGCGCGAUACAGGGUGACAGCCCCGUACACAAAAGCGCAUGUGCUGUGAGCUCGAUGAGUAGGGCGGGACACGUGGUAUCCUGUCUGAAUAUGGGGGGACCAUCCUCCAAGGCUAAAUACUCCUGACUGACCGAUAGUGAACCAGUACCGUGAGGGAAAGGCGAAAAGAACCCCGGCGAGGGGAGUGAAAAAGAACCUGAAACCGUGUACGUACAAGCAGUGGGAGCCCCACCACUAAGCCAGUGGUGAAC